Molecule: ribosomal RNA, 465 nt
Filed under: Vreelandella stevensii
Lineage: Bacteria; Pseudomonadati; Pseudomonadota; Gammaproteobacteria; Oceanospirillales; Halomonadaceae
Description: partial 16S ribosomal RNA
Rfam family: Bacterial small subunit ribosomal RNA
Source: RNAcentral
CCUACGGGAGGCAGCAGUGGGGAAUAUUGGACAAUGGGGGCAACCCUGAUCCAGCCAUGCCGCGUGUGUGAAGAAGGCCCUCGGGUUGUAAAGCACUUUCAGUGAGGAAGAACGCCUGGUGGUUAAUACCCAUCAGGAAAGACAUCACUCACAGAAGAAGCACCGGCUAACUCCGUGCCAGCAGCCGCGGUAAUACGGAGGGUGCGAGCGUUAAUCGGAAUUACUGGGCGUAAAGCGCGCGUAGGUGGCUUGAUAAGCCGGUUGUGAAAGCCCCGGGCUCAACCUGGGAACGGCAUCCGGAACUGUCAAGCUAGAGUGCAGGAGAGGAAGGUAGAAUUCCCGGUGUAGCGGUGAAAUGCGUAGAGAUCGGGAGGAAUACCAGUGGCGAAGGCGGCCUUCUGGACUGACACUGACACUGAGGUGCGAAAGCGUGGGUAGCAAACAGGAUUUGAUACCCGAGUAGUC